CCUACGGGAGGCUGCAGUGGGGAAUAUUGCACAAUGGGGGAAACCCUGAUGCAGCGACGCCGCGUGAGUGAAGAAGUAUCUCGGUAUGUAAAGCUCUAUCAGCAGGGAAGAAAAUGACGGUACCUGAUUAAGAAGCCCCGGCUAACUACGUGACGGCAGCCGCGGUAAUACGUCGGGGGCGAGCGUUAUCCGGAUUUACGGGGUGUAAAGGGAGCGUAGACGGCAUGACAAGUCUGGAGUGAAAUGGCGGGGCUUAACCCCGGAACUGCUUUGGAAACUGUGAAGCUAGAGUGCAGGAGAGGUAAGUGGAAUUCCUAGUGUAGCGGUGAAAUGCGUAGAUAUUAGGAGGAACACCAGUGGCGAAGGCAGCUUACUGGACUGUAACUGACGUUGAGGCUCGAAAGCGUGGGGAGCAAACAGGAUUAGAUACCCUUGUAGUC
Molecule: ribosomal RNA, 440 nt
Filed under: uncultured bacterium
Lineage: Bacteria
Description: partial 16S ribosomal RNA
Rfam family: Bacterial small subunit ribosomal RNA
Source: RNAcentral